RNAcentral lists this ribosomal RNA (496 nucleotides) under uncultured bacterium. RNAcentral describes it as "partial 16S ribosomal RNA". It matches the Rfam family "Bacterial small subunit ribosomal RNA", at positions 28 to 506 of the family's 1533-position model. The record is from RNAcentral.
GAUGAACGCUGGCGGCGUGCCUAAUACAUGCAAGUCGAGCGAACAGACGAGGAGCUUGCUCCUCUGACGUUAGCGGCGGACGGGUGAGUAACACGUGGAUAACCUACCUAUAAGACUGGGAUAACUUCGGGAAACCGGAGCUAAUGCCGGAUAAUAUAUUGAACCGCAUGGUUCAAUAGUGAAAGACGGUUUUGCUGUCACUUAUAGAUGGAUCCGCGCCGCAUUAGCUAGUUGGUAAGGUAACGGCUUACCAAGGCAACGAUGCGUAGCCGACCUGAGAGGGUGAUCGGCCACACUGGAACUGAGACACGGUCCAGACCCCUACGGGAGGCAGCAGUAGGGAAUCUUCCGCAAUGGGCGAAAGCUUGACGGAGCAACGCCGCGUGAGUGAUGAAGGUCUUCGGAUCGUAAAACUCUGUUAUUAGGGAAGAACAAAUGUGUAAGUAACUAUGCACGUCUUGACGGUACCUAAUCAGAAAACCACGGCUAACUACGU